AGUGAACGCUGGCGGUAGGCCUAACACAUGCAAGUCGAACGGCAGCACAGGAGAGCUUGCUCUCUGGGUGGCGAGUGGCGGACGGGUGAGGAAUACAUCGGAAUCUACUCUGUCGUGGGGGAUAACGUAGGGAAACUUACGCUAAUACCGCAUACGACCUACGGGUGAAAGCAGGGGACCUUCGGGCCUUGCGCGAUUGAAUGAGCCGAUGUCGGAUUAGCUAGUUGGCGGGGUAAAGGCCCAACAAGGCGACGAUCCGUAGCUGGUCUGAGAGGAUGGUCAGCCACACUGGAACUGAGACACGGUCCAGACUCCUACGGGAGGCAGCAGUGGGGAGUAUUGGACAAUGGGCGCAAGCCUGAUCCAGCCAUACCGCGUGGGUGAAGAAGGCCUUCGGGUUGUAAAGCCCUCUUGUUGGGAAAGAAAUCCAGAUGGCUAAUACCCGGUUGGGAUGACGGUACCCAAAGAAUAAGCACCGGCUAACUUCGUGCCAGCAGCCGCCGUAA
RNAcentral lists this ribosomal RNA (506 nucleotides) under uncultured bacterium. RNAcentral's name for it is "partial 16S ribosomal RNA". It matches the Rfam family "Bacterial small subunit ribosomal RNA", at positions 29 to 523 of the family's 1533-position model. The record is from RNAcentral.